CUCCUUCUAGCAGCCUCCCUUGCAGCAACAAGAAUUGAACUGGAGCUGUUUGUUCCAUCAUCACCCUUCAAAAUGGAUGCAGGAGUAGCCUUACCCAAAUUUUUCAUGCCAUCAGAAAGAGAGUUAAAAUUGAUCUGACUUGGGUUAUGGUGACCACCAGAAACUACUGCUUCUUCAGCCAUCAGUUUAGCUAGCGAUGCAGCAUUUGAUGCAACCUUGGCAGCUGCAGCUGCCGCCUUUGCAACAGCAGCAGCAGCUGCUAUUGCAACAGCUGCAGAUGCUAGUUUGGUUUCAACAUCUGGCAACAACCCAGAAUUUCUCUGCUUAUCUAACUGAUCCCAUAUUUCCCGGCUAUGAUUAACAGCAGAAGUCGCAAGUGCAGAGGCAUUCUCCGCCUGCAGCCUAGCCUCCUUUAUCUGGCCAAGGGUAUCCUCUGAAAAAAUUGCCCUCGGUUCUACGUGGCCUCCUUUAAUAAGAUCUGAAGAAGAUGCA
RNAcentral lists this unclassified non-coding RNA (492 nucleotides) under Hevea brasiliensis (rubber tree). The record is from RNAcentral. Lineage: Eukaryota; Viridiplantae; Streptophyta; Magnoliopsida; Malpighiales; Euphorbiaceae.